GAUGAACGCUGGCGGCGUGCCUAAUACAUGCAAGUCGAGCGGACAGAUGAGGAGCUUGCUCCUCUGACGUUAGCGGCGGACGGGUGAGUAACACGUGGAUAACCUACCUAUAAGACUGGGAUAACUUCGGGAAACCGGAGCUAAUACCGGAUAAUAUAUUGAACCGCAUGGUUCAAUAGUGAAAGACGGUUUUGCUGUCACUUGUAGAUGGAUCCGCGCCGCAUUAGCUAGUUGGUAAGGUAAAGGCUUACCAAGGCAACGAUGCGUAGCCGACCUGAGAGGGUGAUCGGCCACACUGGAACUGAGACACGGUCCAGACUCCUACGAGAGGCAGCAGUAGGGAAUCUUCCGCAAUGGGCGAAAGCCUGACGGAGCAACGCCGCGUGAGUGAUGAAGGUCUUCGGAUCGUAAAACUCUGUUAUUAGGGAAGAACAAAUGUGUAAGUAACUAUGCACGUCUUGACGGUACCUAAUCAGAAAGCCACGGCUAACUACGUG
RNAcentral lists this ribosomal RNA (497 nucleotides) under uncultured bacterium. RNAcentral describes it as "partial 16S ribosomal RNA". It matches the Rfam family "Bacterial small subunit ribosomal RNA", at positions 28 to 507 of the family's 1533-position model. The record is from RNAcentral.